This 253-nucleotide ribosomal RNA is filed under the name uncultured bacterium. RNAcentral's name for it is "partial 16S ribosomal RNA". It matches the Rfam family "Bacterial small subunit ribosomal RNA", at positions 524 to 776 of the family's 1533-position model. The record is from RNAcentral.
UACGUAGGGUGCAAGCGUUAAUCGGAAUUACUGGGCGUAAAGCGUGCGCAGGCGGUUAUGUAAGACAGAUGGGAAAUGCCCGGGCUUAACCUGGGAACUGCAUUUGUGACUGCAUGGCUAGAGUUUGGCAGAGGGGGGUAGAAUUCCACGUGUAGCAGUGAAAUGCGUAGAUAUGCGGAGGAACACCGAUGGCGAAGGCAAUCCCCUGGACCUGUACUGACGCUCAUGCACGAAAGCGUGGGGAGCAAACAGG